GUGCUCGCUUUGGCAGCACACAUAGUAAAAUUGAAACAAUACAGAAUAGAUUAGGAUGGCCCCAGCGCAAGGAUGACAUGCAAAUUUGUGAAGUGUUAAAAAAUUCU
Molecule: small nuclear RNA, 107 nt
Filed under: Myotis brandtii (Brandt's bat)
Lineage: Eukaryota; Metazoa; Chordata; Mammalia; Chiroptera; Vespertilionidae
Source: RNAcentral